CCAUGCACCUGGAGCCUGGAUACAGUGAUCACAGGCACCUCAGGAACAGCUCUCCAGCCCCAGGACUUCUGCCGGAACUGCUGGAAGUUAGAAGCUUUCUUCCUACUGAGGGGCAACCUUCUAGGUAUCUGAAGAUGUUGAAGACCAUUUCCUGGAACCACAGCGAGAGAUUGUGGAAUGGAAUGACUCUCUAGAGUUGCAGAUUGAAGGUGUAUUUUCAUCUGACUUCGGUGAUUGUGUGUCUAAUCUCUGUGGGAAUAAGGUGUGCUUGGGGUAGGGAUGGGCAGAGGUAGAACUCGCCGAACCGCCCAGUCACAUGGAGUUACAUCUUAUUUAAAACUCAGCCAUUGCCACCCGCCUCAGGGAAUCUCUGGCUUCAGUUUGAGUGUUCAGUGAAGCCUUACACAAGAAGGGCUCAAUCUCUAAAGUCUACAUCGAAGCUGAAUCCACCCAGCAUCAGAUUAUUCCUGAAAAGCCUCUUUAAAUCGAAACCUCCCAUAAAGAUGGUGAAGCUCUGUAUUGUGAUAUAGUUGGUAUGGGUGGCUUUUCCUUGAGCACUGCGACAGAUUUGUAAAACAGUUACACACACACACACACACACACACACACACAUCCCCCACAGAGCACCCUGUCUCUAAAGACAAGAAUGACAAGAGAAAAAUCUCAAAGAAAGGAAUCAACAGAGUUGCUCUGAGACUCACAUGGCUGGGCACAGACACACUGAGUGGGUGCACGGGCUGAGGUGUCUGGUUUUCCCCAUUGGACACCAUGGUGUCUACCACACUGGGAUGGACGCAUACACAGUGACUGUGGAAGCUAAAUGUAUACAGUCCUAAAGCAAGAUCAGUUGUGUGGAGGAGAGGAUAAUUGUAAACUUCUUUAUUUGUUGGCUGUUAAGUAUUUGAAUAAGAAUAUGAGAAUGCCCAACAUUUUAAGCAACCUGAUGUGUAAGAUGUCUUCUGGCUUGUCAAUAAGAAAGUCCAUGAUAACAAUGACUGUGGAAGCAAGGGCAAGAAUGAUAAAGGACUCAGCUUCCUGAGCACGUGUGAUGUGCCAGACGCGAAUAUGUGAACUUCCAGUAUGUGUAAUGUGCCAGAUGCGGAUAUGUGAGCUUCCUGAGCACGUGUGAUGUGCCAGACGCGAAUAUGUGAACUUCCAGUAUGUGUAAUGUGCCAGAUGCGGAUAUGUGAGCUUCCUGAGCACGUGUGAUGUGCCAGACGCGAAUAUGUGAACUUCCAGUAUGUGUAAUGUGCCAGAUGCGGAUAUGUGAGCUUCCUGAGCACGUGUGAUGUGCCAGACGUGGAUAUGUGAGCUUCCUGAGCAUGUGUGAUGUGCCAAAUGCAGAUAUGUGAAUUUCCUGAGCACGUGUGAUGUGCCAGACGCCGAUAUGUGAGCUUCCUGAGCACGUGUGACAUGCUAGACGCGGGUAUGCGGGCUUCCUGAGCACGUGUGACGUGCCAGACACGGAUAGUGAGCUUCCUGAGCACGUGUGACGUGCCAGACGCAGGCAAGAAAAAUGAGAUGCAGAGACAGGAAGCCACCCAUCCCACAGCGCACAGCGAGGGCGUGGUGAAGGCAGAAUUUACAGGUGGGCUUUCUGGUUCCAGGGCCUAUGCUUUUAAUAACUGCACUAAAACAAACAUCGUGAUGAUGGCACCGUUUGCAGGAAGCAUAUCCUGAUAAUAAAGACAACAAAGGGGGAAGUGGAGUAAGAAAUAAAAAUAAAAUUGUCAGACCCUCAACUCUGCUAAGAAACGUAUGUAAAUAGAAAGCUUUGGGAAGCCUGCUGCCACAUUUAUUGCAGCUUUUAUGGCCUGGAGAACGCUGCCUACUGUAUUAUUUUCUAUAUAAAUGAUGCUUCAUAGUUUGAGAGUUUUUCACCCUUUUGGAAAUAUAAUUAAAGCUGUGGAGCCUAUCCAGAGGAAGAAAACACGCACAACCACAACAUUUCAGAAAAAUAAAUUAAGAGAAAAUUGAUGCCGUAAUACAUAUCAGUGAACCGCUGGAAUCUCAGCCUCCAGGGGAAUUAUUUCUGCUCUACAACUAUUCAUGAUUUUUUCUUUCAGACCUCUAUGGUAGGAACACCUUCAUGGUCCCUUUAUAGCUGGUGUGUUUUCUUCUCAUGGCCAAUGAGAAGCAUGUAAUAAAUUGUUUCCUUUCUGCCAGGAAACUCUGAGUUAAAGCUUUACUUCCCUCUCAGGAACUAUCAAAGAGGCAUAAGCCCUACACCCUGGUCCAACAUUUCCCUUGGAUUUGAUUCCCUUUCGACCAUUUUAGCCCUAUUUUACAUGUGUUACAUCUAUUUCUCUGUGCUGUCACAUGUAUUAUCAAAUGCUAUUUCGGAUGUCAACCAUGAGCUAAAGUACAUCUUGGAAUUAUUAGAGAAACAGAGGGAUAUGAUUAUAUAAAGUAACACAUACAAAUGCAAUGCUGAUUUUUUUUCCUUAAGAAGUUUUUGACAAUUGCGUGGAAGGAAUCUGCUUUUCACUGAAGUUUCAAUGUUUUCAGAUCCUUUAAUACCAGCUGUGAAACUUACUUACUAGGAUGAAUUAUAGAAAGUUUUACCACUUUCCUCUGACUCAUUUAUUCUCGUUGUAAAUAUGAGAAUUAAAACUCUUCCCCAUUCUUGCUUUCUGAAGGAUUCUAUACAAACAGUUGAGGUCCUAUUUAGUAAACUACUAGAAACAUGGGGAAGUGAACUAAGGAGAUAUGAACUAUGAAAUGAUCUGUUUUAAGAAAAUAUAUGGGAAAAUCAGGUCUAUGUUUCUGACAAUCAAAUGUAUAAUAUAUACAUAUAUAUAUAAACAAAUGCAUAUACAUAUGCAUAUGUGUAUAUGUGUGGGGGUGUGUGGCUUUUCUCAUCACCUCUGUUAUCACACUCAUUCUAGUCCAUAUUAAAGAAUAUCAUUUCCUGUUCUCUCCACCAUGGCCCCCUGGUCCAAGCCACCAUCUGCGUGCACCUGAUGCCCGCAUAACCUCAGCUGACCUUUCCUAUGUCUAUUCUUGUUCCUUUUGAGCCCAGUCUCCUCACUCGCAGCAGCGGAGCGAGUCUAUUAAAAAGUGAAACAGAGAGAGGCAGCAAAAAGAACACAAAACAAACAAAUAAAAAAGUGAAACAAUGUCUGUCACUUGUUGGCUCAAAACUCUCCAAUAGUUUCCUGAUGGGUUAGAAGAAAAUGUAAGUUCUUGUCAUGGGGUACUAUGUAGGUUUAGGUUCAGCUGUAAGUCACAGGGGGGAAAAAUACACACACACACACACACAUACACACACAUAUGUACACACACACACACACACACAUGCCUUAAACAAAACACAAAUUGUUAUCUCUCUUGUGCUCACAAAGUCCAGAAGCCAUGAGCCAAGGCUGGGGGCAGCACAGCUGCAGUAGAGACCCAGGCUUCAUUUCUCUUUCUGUCCACUGUGCAGUUUGCAUUUCCAGGGAACACCUCAUGGUCCAAAAUAGCUGCUAUUGUGCCUGUUGUUACUAAUGGUUCAUUUUUCAGCCAUAACAUAGGGACAAAGAAAGGCAACUUCCUCCACUGAACUUCACUUCCUGGAAUGUAUAGGGACCACCCUCCUUUAACUAUUAAAUCGUAGAACCUAGCUGUGCCAGGUGGUGGGCGCCUGUAAUCCCAGCCACUUGGGAGGCUGAGGCAGGAGAACCCCUUGAGUCCAGAAGGUGGAGGUUGCAGGGAGCUGAGAUUGCACCACUGCACUUCAGCCUGGUUGACAGAGCAAGAGUCCAUCUUAAAUAAAUAAAUCUUAGAACCUGGUCACAGAGCCACACCCUGCUGUAGAAGAGGCCGGCAAAGGCAGUCCUUAUUCUGGAUGCUCAAGUGCCCAGGUAAACAUCAGGACUUUUGCUCUUGAGGAAGAGACGGGAGAGUGGAUGCCGGGGUCCAGCUCCAACCUGGGACAUGCAUGGCCUGCCUGGACCACAUGGUCAGGACUCUGCCCACCUCCCUGAUGCAUCCCCCACCCUUUCCCACCCUCACUCUGCUCCAGCCACAUGGCCGUCUCACCUCUGUUCUUCCUUUCACGCACCCAGCUAAUUCCAGCCUCUGGGCUUUUGUGCUAGCUGUUCCCUUGCCUGGACAGCUCCUCCCCAAGUAUUCUCUGGCCUCUUCCCUCACUUCACCCAAGUAUCUGCUCCGAAGUAAACCUCCUGGGGGAGAUUUCUCUGCUCACUUGGUCACCAGUAGUAGCCCCUGUCACUCUGUCUCCUCGCCCAGCUUUAUUCUGCACCCUGACACUGGAGAUCUGUUCUGCCAUUUCAAAAAGGAAAAAAAGACAAGAUAUCUGCUACCCACCCUCAUCUCUGCCUCACUGGACGCCUUGAAAGAAAAUGGCAGUAUUUAAAAAACAGUAUGGCUCCUGAGGGAAGCUGAAAACUCAAAGAGAGUGGAUAUCCCAGAAUUUCAAGCUGCAGAUGACUUUUGAAAAGCAAAAACUUAUUUUCUCGCCGAAAAUUGGCAGUAUAUCCUUCCUAGUGAUUUAGGCAGGAGGCAGCUGGAGAACACAUGUUUAGAAGGUCUGUGUGUUAGUGGGCUAAGGUAGAGCUCUCCGCGUUAGACCUGAGAAGACCCUGGACUGCAAGGUAAGUUUAACCAACAGGUGAUCUCGCUGCUGCGCUCAGAGCCCAACCUUGCGCACCCUUAGCUCAGGCGCGUGCGGGCAGCAGGCAAACGACAUUCUCCUAGAGCUCCGGCCCUCAGGUGCCCUGGAGCCCAGAACAGAGGCGCAGCCGCCUUCUCAGCCUUAGGUGAGACUUGGCUCGCUAUCCACGCAGCCACGCGUGGUGCCAGUAACCAGAAGGGCUCGUGGGUCGCUCUUCCGGACCUGGAAGCCUCCGCCUCUGCUACUCAUGUGGGUCGGCUUGAUUCUACCCGGGCCCCACGUGUGCAUGAUAAGAGCAGUGGUUAACAGCUGGUAAGUUUUUCAUGUACUUCAGGCGCUGUGUUCUGUGCCUAAGGCACCCACUAAAUUCCCUCUGAGACGGAGUAAUCCCCGCUGUAGAGAUGCGGGAGUGAGGUGAAAGGCCUUCUGGAGAGCCCAGUUCUGUUCUACACUCUUGUACCCACUCCCCAAACACCUCCCAACCCCUCCUAGCCAUCCUCAAACCACAUCGGACUGGAUCUCAGGUAUCUGUCGAGAGGAUCCCACAUUUCUGCCCACCUGGGGUGCCCUGCGAGCUUCUCUGUGAACACCUGCUCCCCCGUGGGCACAGCCUUGCUCUCAGGACCACUGGGUGGAAGGGAAACUGGCGCGGACCGCCCCUCCCUGGGAUCUCCCCAAUCUUUGUUUAACUGAACUGUAGUGAGGGAGGCAUGGAACCCCAUGGUUGGGAAAAAGAAGUGAAAAGAACCGGGCUUCCCAUUCUCACAGACCCGCCAAGUCCUGGGGAGGAGGAAAGCAACGGACAGGACCCCUCAGCCACCUCCCCUUGACGCCGCAUCUGCACGUGGUCCACGGAAGGUCCAGGUAGGAGAUACCGUCCGUGGAGCCUAGCGUGGUCCGCCUUUCCAGAGCCCCCGCCGAUCCCCGAAUAAACCCCACGUUCAGCGUGUCCCCUCACCCCGCACCCAGAGAGGCCGCGCCACAGACGCCCUCUCCGCCCGGCCUCACCUGU
This is a long non-coding RNA of Callithrix jacchus (white-tufted-ear marmoset), 5630 nucleotides long. RefSeq lists it as uncharacterized. Lineage: Eukaryota; Metazoa; Chordata; Mammalia; Primates; Cebidae. The record is from RefSeq and is a predicted model, not a curated record.